AGAGUUUGAUCAUGGCUCAGGAUGAAUGCUGGCGGCGUGCUUUAUAUAUGCAAGUCACGGGGGUGUAGCAAUACACAACCGGCGGACGGGUGAGUAAUAUAUGGGAAUUUUCCUCGAAGUGGGGUAUAGCUUUCCGAAAGGAAGGGUAAUCCCCCAUGUGAUCGCAAGAUUAAAGCCGCAAGGCGCUUCGAGAUAAGCCUGUAUCCUAUCAGCUUGUUGGUGAGGUAAUGGCUCACCAAGGCGACGACGGGUAGCUGGUCUGAGAGGAUGGUCAGCCACAAUGGAACUGAGACACGGUCCAUACAUCUACGGAUGGCGCAGUAGGGAAUCGUUGACAAUGGGCGAAAGCCUGAUCACGCGACGCCGCGUGGGGGAUCGAAGGCCUUCGGGUCGUAAACCCCUUUUAUCUGGGAAGAUUAUGACGGUACCAGAUGAAUAAGCACCUGCUAAUCACGUGCCAGAAGCCUCGGUAAGACGUGAGGUGCAAGCAUUAUCCGGAUUCACUGGGCGUAAAGUGUUGCGUAGGCUGAUUUGCGCAUUUUACUUAAAAUGCUAUGGCUUAACCAUAGUUUUGGGUAAAAUAUGGCAAAUCUUGUAGGAUAGAGAGGGUACUGGAACUGAUCAUGUAGCAGUGAAAUGCGUUGAUAUGAUUAGGAACACCAAAGGCGUAGGCAGGUACCUGGCUAUCUCUAGACGCUGAGGCACGAAAGCUUGGGGAGCGAAGCAGAUUAGAGACCUGCGUAGUCCAAGCCGUAAACGAUGGGCGUUAGUUACCGGGAUUUAUCUCGGUGACGUAAGCUAACGCGUUAAACGUCCCGCCUGGGGAGUACGAACGCAAGUUUAAAACUCAAAGGAAUUGACGGGGAGGCGCACAAGCAGUGGAGCAUGUGGUUUAAUUCGAUACAAAGCGAAAAACCUCACCAGGGUUUGACAUGUAGAUGCUAAUCCCGUGAAAGCGGGACUCCUUCGAGGGUUCUACACAGAUGCUGCAUGGCUGUCAUCAGUUCGUGGCGUGAGCUGUACCGUUUAGUCGGAUAACGAACGCAACCCGCACCGUAUGUUAAAUAAAUCAUGCGGAACUGCCCCAUUUAUUGGGGAGGAAGGCGCGGAUGAUGUCAAGUCAGCACGGCUCUUACACCCUGGGCUACACACAUCCUACAAUGGCGAACAACAACGAGUUGCAAACGGGUGACCGCAAGCUAAUCUCUGAAAUUUCGCCUCAGUUCAGAUCGGAGUCUGCAAUUCGACUCCGUGAAGCCGGAAUUGCUAGUAUCGCGAAUCAGCAGGUCGCGGUGAAUACGUUCUCGCCUCUUGUACACACCGCCCGUCAAGGCAGCAAAGUUGGGGGUACCCGAAUGGCCCUACAGGGUCAGAAGGUAAAACCAGCGAUGAAGCUUAAGUCGUAACAAGGUA
RNAcentral lists this ribosomal RNA (1413 nucleotides) under metagenome. RNAcentral describes it as "bacterial SSU rRNA". It matches the Rfam family "Bacterial small subunit ribosomal RNA". The record is from RNAcentral.